GAGAAACCCCGGCGCAGAAAGGAACGGCUCCUCCAUGCCCAGCCGGCACGGCUCCGGGGGCUCGGCCCCUCUCCCCGCCGAUCCAGCCCAUGGAACCAGCCAAAUGUUUGAACGCAGUCCGUGGCAAACCCUGUUCCUUUCCAGGUAUUACAGCAGUUAUUGACAAGGAAACACCCUAAACCUCAAGUACUUUAGAGGAAAUGUGGAGAGUAUGGCAAAUAUAUGUUCUCCUGGGCUCACAGUCAGUGGUAUAUACAUAUCUGGAUCUCAUCUGCCAGGCAGAAAACCUCUGUAAGACAGUGUUUGUUGUGCUACAACAUGACAGGGAAAUAGGCUGAGCCUAAAUGUGGAAAUAUCCCUCUGCUGAUCUGCAGUGACUCCUCUGCCUGCAUAAGGAAAAGUAUCACAUCUUCAGAGACACCCACACCUAUACAAUGGUCUGGCAUCUUCCUGCCCAUCCUGCAAAGCAAGAGGGGAGGUUGAUUUACAUCAUUUUACUGGUCACAGAAAAACAAACGACUGUGAGAGAAGGAAGGCUCCUCGCCCGUAAACAAGCGCUCAGCCCUGUCACAGCAAUGGUAUGUGGAACAAUGGGUUUCCAGCAGAGAUGGGCACAGCAGCUUUGGUGGCCCACGAGUUUUGGCUAGUUUCUGAUGCUGAGGGGAUGCUGGGUUUCAUAUUCUAAAAUGAGCUAUAAGAUGUAACAAUAACCCGUAUUGUUCUUGCAGCCCAAGGGCCUUGUACUUGUCCUCGUGAGUGGGAAAGACAGUCAUACACAAUAAGCUGUCUCCAUUACAGAGUGUUUCCUAUUAUGUAGCCGUAAGGAUUCCCUUAGUUUCCAGGGAUAUUCUUUCCAGCCUAGAAACACUUUAGGUACAAUGGAGAUUUUCUUCUAUAGUCCAAAAUCCUUUCCCUUAAAUGGGAAAAAAAAUUAUCAGGUUUCUUGGCAAAGAUCUGUAACAAGUGUUGAAAAGUGCAAAAAGAACUGAGAUACAUAGUGUGAAGUGGCAUGUGCUACUGACAGCCCAGGAGCGUGGAAAUACUGGAAUACCAGGGAAAAAUACUGGAAGCAGACAGCAAAAUACAGUCCAAAAAUGAACCUUAAAGAGACAAGGCUCUCCUCGAAAAACCCAGGCAGAACUUGGAUGGCAACGUCAGCAGCAGCUGGGCUCCAUCAUCACAUUCUCCCUUGCUGAAAGCCCUGUUCAGAGGAGUUCAGCUGUAGCUGCCAACCUACGCUGCUGCAGGGGAGCAGGCUCUGUGUGCAGGGGGAAAGCCUUGGUAGCCACAGCUUUCCUGGCCCCUGGCCUGUACCCCCAGCACGCUCCACCAUUCACUCUUGCCCUCUACCAGCUCCUCGUCUCACUGUGGUGAAAUAAAGCCUUUCCCAAACUG
Long non-coding RNA from Aquila chrysaetos chrysaetos, 1395 nucleotides. RefSeq lists it as uncharacterized. The transcript is spliced from 2 exons. The record is from RefSeq and is a predicted model, not a curated record. Lineage: Eukaryota; Metazoa; Chordata; Aves; Accipitriformes; Accipitridae.